GGCGAACGCUGGCGGCAGGCUUAACACAUGCAAGUCGAGCGGGCACUUCAGGGUCAUCGUCCGACGAGUUUGUAACACGUCGGAACGUACCCUUUUGUUCGACCUAACUCUAAGACUCUAGCGCUAAUACCGGAUACGCCCUUUUAGCGGAAGGCUUGCUGCCCAAGGUUGGGCCCUCGUCUGAUUAGAUUGUUGUUUCGGUAAUGGCAUACCAAGGCGACGAUCAGUAGCUGGUAUGAGAGGAUGAUCAGCCACACUGGGACGGAGACACGGCCGAGAAUCCUACGGGAGGCAGCAGUGGGGAAUAUUGGACAAUGGGCGGAAGCAUGAUGCAGUCAUGAUGGGUGAGUGAUGAAGGCAGGAGGGUAGUAAAGCUCUAUUGUCCGGGAAGAUAAUGACGGUACCGGAAGAAUAAGCCCCGGCUAACUACGUG
This 433-nucleotide ribosomal RNA is filed under the name uncultured bacterium. RNAcentral describes it as "partial 16S ribosomal RNA". It matches the Rfam family "Bacterial small subunit ribosomal RNA", at positions 28 to 507 of the family's 1533-position model. The record is from RNAcentral.